Molecule: long non-coding RNA, 16215 nt
Filed under: Marmota monax (woodchuck)
Lineage: Eukaryota; Metazoa; Chordata; Mammalia; Rodentia; Sciuridae
Source: RNAcentral
CUCACAGUCACACUGUUCUGUGUGCUCUCUGCUAUUAGGAAGGAUUGAAAGACAAGCCCACUCAUACUUGUUCUUGGAUUUAGCAAUAUACUUUAGAAUUUAUUCACUUUACUUUUUCUUCUUGAAAAGCUAUUUAGGAAGGCAAAUAUAGACAACAUGAGUAAAUUAAGUGAAAAGAAUCAAAGCUUUUAGAAAAUCAAGUUCAUGUGUGAAAAUAGAAGAAAAUAAUUACCCAGAGCAAAGGGACAUCUUGAAAGGUCAUCUGGCCCAUCCCUGUGGAUUAUGCAAGCCUGACAGAAAGGUAUGUAACCCAUUUACAAAGUACCCCAGAAGACUUCUGUGACUCUUUCUAGAGCAUAGUCAAAUUUUUAAAAUAUUAACUAUUAGGAAUUUUUAAAUGUCUAAUCCUAUUCUUCAUGUUAUAAUUUAACCAUUAUUCAAAAAAAAAUAUCUAGGGACAUCCUGAAUCUUUCUCUAAUGCCCAUCCCUAUUUCUUUAUGCAUCCCUGCUCAUUUUUUUAAACAUUUUUUUUUAGUCAUAGAUGGACACAAUACCUUUAUUUUAUUUGUUUCUAUUUUUAUGUGGUGCUGGGGAUUAAACCCAGUGCCUCACACAUGCUAGGCAAGCACUCUACCACUGAGCCACAACCCUGGCCCCACACCCCUGCUCCUUUUAGCCUAUAUUAGCUUUGCUACGUUUUACUUAGAACUUGGAUGCUAUUAAUUUUUAAAAAUAAUUUAAAAAUAAUAAAUUUGCAAAAUGACUAGCAGAUAGUUUUAAUAUAUGAGACACUGUUAGAAAUUAGUCUAGAAAAACAUUAAAGACCAGCAUAAAAAUAAUAAAUAAUAAGCAGGCAGUUUGCAAAAGUAGGAUGAUAGUCAAUAUACAGACAAAAAUUGUUCAUGGUAAUCAGUAAACAAAAAAUGCAAACUUCUGGGCAUGGUAAUGCAUGCCUGUAAUCCCAGCAGUUUGGAAGGCUGACAUAAGAGGAUUAGUGUCUCAAAAUAAAUUUAAAAAAAUGGCUGGGAAUGUAGCUCAGUGGUAAAGUGCCCCUGAGUUAGACUCCAACAGAAGAAGAAGAAACAGAAGGAGAAGGAGAAAAAGAAGAAAGUUGAAAUAGCAUAUUUUAUGUUACUGGAUAAGCACAGAUUUAAAAGGACAACAAUGUUGGGUAUAACAAGAAAGAAAAGCUACACACAAACACAGGUCACAGUGGGAAAAACUUUCAAAAAUUAGUUUAAAAAUUCAUAUCAAAAAAUUUUAAAAUGUGAAUUUCCUUUAACCUAGUAAUUUUAUUGAUAGUAAUUAAUUAUAUGGAGACAACCAGGCAAAUAAAUGUCUUUGUUUUAAUAGUAAGAAGAAUUAGGAAAAUAAGAACUUGAAUUGUCUCAAAAAGGAAAAUGAGUAAAUUAAGGUAUACCUAUACAAAUGGAUUCUCAUGAAAGCCAUUACAAAUGCUACAGAUACAUGUUCAUUGACAUUGAACUCCACGGCCCAUUUUAGUUUAAAAUGAGGUUGAAAACGUCACAUAUAGUAUGAAUCCAGCUAGGUAGAAUCCAGGACUGCUUUAAAAGAUGUCUGGAUGAUAUAAACCAAAAAGGCCGUCUGCCUGGGUAAUGGUCUUAUAGAUGUUUGUUUUUCUUUUUCAGAACUUCCUUUAGGUCUGAGUUCAUUUUCUGUUUUGUUUGUUUGUUUGUUUUGUUUUGCUUUUGCUUUUUAUUUUUUUAGGUUGGUUUUGUUUUUUAACAGUUAGUGUAUGUUGCUUUCAAAAUUUGUAAAAACAUAAAAAAGCUAUUUUUGUGUUGGCAGAUAAUCUUCAUAAUCUUAAACAUUAGUUUGGUGAAUUUGUGAGAGGUUUGAUGCUUAAUCCCCAUAUAUCAAGUUGCAAUGAAACCAUGAAUUAAUAAACUACAAUCUGUGACAUUCACAUUUUCUUAAUAAUGUGAAAGAAAAUACAUAACAACUUGAUUUACUAGGGUAAAUCAAGUUGGGUCUAAAUGAAACUAAUACAACCAGAUAAGCAAUUUUUUAAAAAUUCACUCAAAUAGAUUUUCAUACUUCAUAACAUAAAUACCUUUGUAUUUCAAGGGAAAAAACAAACAAACAAACAAACAACAACAAAAAAAAAAAAACCUCCUUACAUUUUACCCAUGAGCUACUCAGCAUCCUGGCAUUUAAACUAUUUGAUUUUUUUCUGAAUGUUUUAAAGAACCAUAUUCUCAUAGAUUUUCAGGUCCACAUUUAAUCUGUAACAAGUAUGAUGAAGCAUAUUUCAAAAGAACCUUUAUUACUCCAUGUGGCCUCUGUAUAGCUGAGGAUAGCUUACACAAUGAUAAAAAAUCAUUUUAUAGGGAAUUUGCAAUUACUACAUAUUUGGUAAAGAAUAUUACAUUUCUUAGCACAAGAUCUCAGUAAUUAUUUAAUUUUGGCUGAGUUUGAAUUAUCCCUAUAUUUUCUAAAGUUAUCCACCACCAAAAUGUCUCCUAUGAACCUCCUAUUAGAUUAGACCUCAAAACAACACUGCAAGCUAUGUAUUAUUAUCUCCAAUUUAAGAUGUUAAACUUGGGCUCAAUACUUGGCCCAGGAAUGGUGUUGCUGAAACUAAGAAAGCAUCUCACACACUAUGCAGCCUCCACAAGCCUGGCAUCUAUUUUCUUAAUAGAAAAGAUAGCUUUUCCCCAACUGUUCACACUUUGGGGCUCGUUUUCCUCGUAUUACUGAACCCUUCCAGAUGGAAAAGGUAUCUGAGAUUUUCCUCCGUUUAUGCUUCUGGGAAAUGAUAGUCAGGCUCUGAUGGUGGAUAGAAGGCAAAGCAGUCCAAUGGACAAGUCAUAGUUUAACCACAGAUGGUCCAAAGCACCUUGAAGUUGCUAUCCACUUUUUUUGUUCCCCAUUUGUGGAAUUGGAGCAGGUGUCCCUGCUACCCUUAUUAACUGGUUGCAACUCUGCACCCCUUCAGCAUGUAUUUUAUCCUUCCCAGAAAAGUUUUAAAAAAAUUGUGUCAUUGAGACUUGAGAGCAGAAAAGGAAGUAAAUGCCACUGUUUUAUCCAUCACAACUGAAAAUCUAGUGUUUAGCAGCCAAUCAAAUUUUAUUUGAGAGCCAGAGCCUUUAAAUGCUCUCAAGUGCUGGGCUCCCAGGAUGACUUGGAAACAGGACACAAGGCUCUGGUUGCACAAUAAGGAAAGCAUUGCCGUCAAGGAUGAGUAAAUGCACUAGUCAUUUCCAGUCUUCCUCUGGCUAACUUUGAAAAGGAAUUACUUAACCUUGCACUGGUCUUCCUCUCUUUAUUAAAAAGCUUUGUUGAACUUCUCUUUGUCGAAGAUCCCACGAUGCUUACCACAAUCUCUUCCUACCCUUCUCAUUCCCUGAAUGGCAGUUCUUUCCACUCCCUCACCUUUCAUUUCUGCAUGCUUUAAAAUAUGAAAAACAAGGGGAUAAGUUUGAACUUUAAUAAAUCCAAGGGAAAUAAAAAAAGAGCAAACACAUUCAAACAGCAAAUAGGCAGAAAGUAGGGACACAGGAGGCAAGGAGGGAAGGUCUCGAUCUAGUAGGGUGGGGAUCAGAAACGUGUGGUGUUUCCUCUGCUUGGCAUGAGUCACUUCACAUGAACUCCAUCUAGAAUAGGGACAUGUAAGAACACUUCCUUAAAGACAUUCUAUGUGAGCAGACACAGUAAUAGGUAAAAACUGUUAACAAGUUGUUUCUAUAAAAACUGAAAGUAUUAUUUUUAUCCCUUCCUUAGCUUGCAUGGCCUUCACAUUUCUGUCUUGCUGAUGUUAGAAGAGGGAGUGUUAUCACUAAUUAUUCUCUAUUUAUAUGUAAAUAUUUGGCUAUUUUAGUAGAGUUAAUGAGUUAUAUGGUAAGUAUGAGAUUGUUCAACUUAUUGAAAAUAAAAAUCAGAUUCCAUUUUUUUUUCAAUACUGACUGGGAACCUGUUUUGGGUUCUAUUUCUAGGCAGUAAUAGAAACUAAAUAAAUGCAAAGUUCUGCCAGAUGUGGUGGCACAUGACCUGGGAUGCCAACGCAGGAGGAUUGCAAGUUUGAGGCCAGCUUCAGCAGUUUAGCCAGACCCUCGGCAACUUAACAAGACCUUGCCUCUAAAUAAACAAUAGAAAGGACUGGGCAUGUUGGACAGUGGUAAAGUGUCCCUGAGUUUAAUCCUUGGAAUAAAUAAAUAAAUGUAGGAUUCUGACAAGAAUUAGGGCAAUGGGAAAAGUGAAUGAAAAUCAGUGAACUCCGUGUUAGUUGUAGUAGACUGAGGCUCUGAAACCCAUCCUGAGCUUUUUCUUCUUAGUGAAGAAACUAAGGUAAACUCAAUGAUUUGGUCUUCAUCCACUGGAUGACUAUAUUCUGUAAGCUAUGGUCCAACAGGAAUAAGGUGAAAUCAUUUUCCUUAGAUAGCACACAUCAUGCACAGAAAGACAAAAAAAAAAUACAAGUAAACUAAUAAAGCAACUAAAUAAUAUUGGGAUUAAUGAGUGCAGUGAAGAAAAUAAGGUAGAAUGGAGAUUCCCUCAGGGAUUUCUUUAGAUACAGUGCUCCUGGAGGAGUUCUCUAAGGAGCUGCCAUGAGGGACCAGCUGAGACUUUAAGGAUGAAUGAGAGGAUGGUACUAAGAUGGAGCAGGAAAAGAGCCUUUUAAAAUGAAGGAAUAGCCAUCUCAAAGGUUUCAGGAAGGAGCCAUUAGGCAUGGAACAGAGAGACUGGUAAGAAACGAGGUCAGAAAAAUGGUUCCUCCCAGAUAGUGUCUGGCUUUUGAUGUCACAGAAAGGAUCCUGGAUGUUGAUCAGAGUGCAGUGAGAAGCCACUGGAGCAUUCCAGCAAGAGGUGAACUAUGUCACCUAUGCUCAUUUUUGAAAGAAAAUUCAGCCUCCCCUGUGGGGAAAUAAUUAUAGGAUGAUAAGAAUGAAAGGACAGAGGAGAUGAGUUCGGAACCUGCUAUAUAAAUCAGGACAGCCAAGAUGGUGCCAUGUACCAGGUUUAUCAUGCAAUAUGAAGUAGGAUUGGGGCUUGGCUUUUCAUGGUGCCUCUAGAAGUCUUUGGCAGCGUUCCUUUGGAAGAUAUUCAUAUUGUCUCACAAACUGAACUUGUUGGUAAGAGUCAGAACUAGAGCCCGAAACAGAUGUGCUAGCUCCAUAGCUCUACCUAGAAAAAAACAUUUUCAGUUUUAGUUCCAUUCAUCAUGAUUCUCUUCUCCACUUCAAGAUCAUUGCAGGACAACUUGAAUUGUAUAUGAUGCUUACUGUCUUCAUCCUCACCUGCUGCAACCCCUAGAAUUGUCAACCUCCCCAAACCACUACAGCAAAGAAGAAGGAGGCAGAGAUCCCAAGUUGUUCAUGUUAAUGUGGGAAAUGAGAGGUAGAACUGCUGGCAGAACACAGGUACUAUGCCUGGAUUUCAAUAAUGCUGUAAUCAGAACCACAUUGCUUCAUAACGGGAAAUCUGGGCUUCUAAGAACUGUGAAGUGGAGAUUUACCAACUGACCGAAUCAUGCAAAGAAAAUGUCAAACUGUAGUAACAGAUUUUUGUACUCUUGUCUGCCUGAAGAGCAGAGGUUGGGGCCCCUGUGGGGCACAGAUCACGAAGCACACAAUUACCCAAGCUCCAUGUCUCAGUAAAGAGUUUUGCUUAAGUGUGCCAGAUAUUGUUAAAAACACAAAGAACCCUGUUCAUAAACACCAGGCUUUAUACUGAUCCAAAAGCACAUGUUUAUUUGUGUGGUCAAUGGUCUGCAUACUUUAAGAAUCAUGUAAAUAAUAAAGUCAAACUACUUUAUUUAGUAUGAGUGAAAUUGAUGGCCCAAUAAUCAGACACAUUUGUGGGCUGAUGUAUCUGUACAUAUGCUAUUGAUGAGAAAUAGUUACUGUACACAUGUGAAGGAAUUUAUGAAAACAUACUUCAAAAUUUACAUAUAUUUUCUUCUGAAGGGAUCUCUCCUUCAUUUUGUGAAUAUAAUUAUAAAAUAGAUUUUUUUUUUAAAGUGACUACAAUGGCUAUUGCUUAGCCAUGCUUCCAAGUAAAAAGUUAUACAGCAAUUUAAGAUCAAUCAGACUUGGAGUGGAAAAGGUUUCUAACCCAUUAAAUAUAAUCAGAAUAUCUGGAUAAUUUCUUAAGUUUUACAGUGGGGGAAAAAGUAGGUAACUCUUUACUUUUGAAAGUGAGACAAUAGGUUUUCUCCCCAUUUGAACCUUAACCAGAAAAAACUGGAAAAAAAAUCAUUUCAAUCUCACUGAAUAAAGUAUUCAAUCAUAACUACAUUUUAAGAUAUGCAUAAGUUUCUGGGUUUCCUUAAAAUGCUCUAAAAUUUAUUUUAACCAACAAAUUAUUCUUUUAACUGAAUAAACCUUUUUCUUAAUUUUUUUGUUUUUAACUAUGGCUUCACACUUUUGUCUACAGUAACCUGAAACCUCAAUUCAGACAUUACUCACUGUAGAUAACUGAGCCCCAAUGAAGUUAUCAUCAAUUAUUAACCAUUUUUAGAUAUUUAUUUUUCUCAGGUCCAGCCAGCAAUAAGUUGAAAUUGGCAUAUAAAUAACACAAAAUCAUUUUCUGAUUUUCAGAAAAGCAUAGCUGCUCAUUUGCUGAACUUUACACCAGGAUCUGGGAUGACAAACUUUUCCCUUCUAUGCCCAAGGCUAGACAUCUCCACUAGAACACAGCAUACUUUUUUCUCAGACCUGCCUGAGACCUCAUGACAGAAUCCACAGGGAUCUACUGCAAAAAGAUGAAAAUAGUAGAGGAGAAGAAACCUCCUUGCUCUUCUUGACCAGUGUGCAGUUUUGGAUUGUAUUUUUUUUUUCACAUGACAGGAACAUAAAAAAGAACUUCUUAUUCAUGUCACACUUUCCAGAAAACUGCAGAGGAAAGAGCAGAGAAGACAUCCAGGACUGAAAAGUACUGAAAGUCAAGACCAAAAGAUGGAGGGAGAGGGAAAGUAACUCAUGUGUGCCCUGCACAUGUAAUCUAAAUAAGAUAAUCCACGCAGAAUAAGUCAAUGACAGCAUUGUCAAAAUGGAAAUUUGAAGUGCUCAGUGAAGUCAGGAUCUAGUCCAUCGCCACUCAGUUCACCAUGUUUCUAUGGCCAAGUCUUAGCAUAUUACAGCUUUUGUCUGUGAGCUGUAAUUCACGGGGAUGGGGCAUGGUUUAGUAUUGUUCUUAAUUUGAAUUCUAUGGAAGAGUUGAUUAUGGGAGAUCAUAUAGCAGGUGAAAUGUUUGGCUUUAAUGAGAAUCAACUGCAUAAAAGUUCUUUUUGGGUAUUGGAGUAAUACCAAAUAAAAACAAGAAACAAUACAUUUGAUAAUCAAAAGAAAAAAAAACCCUGUCAUUUUAGGAAUACAUUUAAAAAGUAAGUUUCUUCUUAAAUACCAUUAAUUUGCAUUCUUAUGAAUAAAAAUAUAUACAGAUUAAAAUAACAUCAGUAUUUGAAAAUUAACUAGCAAUGUAAAUUAAGAAGUCUCUUAAUUAGAGUAAUUAAUAUUGUUAUGUUUUAGCAUUCAAUACUAUAUAUUAUUUUAGUUUUCCCAAUAGCUAAAAUAAAAUUCCUCAAAAUAUACUGUUUAUAGCCUCAUGGUUUGAAUAGAUCAAAUGUACACUCUGAUAAGAAGAGAGACCAGCUUACAAAUUUAGAAAUGUUAUUUGAAAUUUACCAAGUUAUUCGAGAUAUAGGGCUUGUUCUUUCUCAAAUUUUAAAGAUGAAUGAUGUGGGGUUUUUUCCCAGUUAGUUAUAGGGUAAACAUCACCAUCACUCAAAGAAAAAGUAACUGUAAAUAACCUUAAAACAUUAAUUUAAAAAUUCAUUUCAAGAAUGUAUUGUUUAAUUCACGACAUUACAUAGUUGUUUUCAUAAAGCAUUUGGCACACUGUAAUCAAUUAUUUUGUUUAAAAUAUUGGAGAAAUUUAGAUUUUUAAUACUUAAAUAUAGUGGUAAAUAUAUUUGUGGUAUCUUUAUAUUAGUCCAGGGAGCUAGAAUAGUUCUUGCUAUGAAAAGGAAACUGUUUAAAACCAAUUUAAAUAAAUUUAAGAAUGGUUCUACUUGUAUCAUUAUCAGUUAUCUUCUUUCCAAAAGAUGUCUUGAAGAAUAUCUUCUUUUACUUGAAUAUUUAUGCCCAUACGGUUUCAAUUACUUUCCUUUUCCUAUUUUUCCAUUCACACUUCAAACCUAGGGAUUAUGAGUAAUAAAUAAGUUGCUUCCACAUCUUGUUCAAUUUUAGAAUUGGGAACUACUUGCCUGGAUAAUGACUGGCUUCACAUUUAUUGUCAACCACCUCCAAUGUCCCUUUUUCUGAUCCUCUCAAGAUACAGCACAUUUGUGAAAUAAACAAAAGAGAAAAGAAAAACAAUAACGUCUUAUUUUUAUACUUUCUUUUAGAAUGGCUGAUUCUUUGGCUUACGAUUCAAGUUUAGAUUUACUUUUAAAAGUAUAAAAUCAUUACCUCAAACAUUUAUCAUUUUUCAUGGUGAAACAUCUUAAAUCCUCUCUUCUACUUAUUUUAAAUCACAUAAAUUUGCACAUUUAUUAUGUAUCAUCAAAUAAAAGUAAUAUAAAUCUUUAAAAAACAUAGAAUCAUAUUUUAGAAUAGAUUCUGCAAGUAGAACAGUAUUUCUUACUAUAGCGUCACACGUACGGUCUGCAAGAACUAGAAAGAUUCUCUAUAUUUGCUGUGUUUAUGUGUUUUAAGUGGUCUAAAUUUUCUUUCCACAAUCAAUGUAAGCAUACAAAUGUAGCAUCGUAAAUGUACACAAUGGUGUGAGCUAACCUGAAAUAAUACUACUGUUGUUUCUGGGACUCUUUAAAAAAAAAAACACACAACAAUUUUUCCCCAGCAGCUGCUUCUGACUUCAGUUUUGAAACAUUAUUUCCAUGCACAUCCUUGAAUUAUUUAGAAUUUCUCAGUUUAUGACUCCUCUCUGCUCUUCCUGGUUGCAACACUUAUUUUAAACUAUUGUCCUGAGAAAGAUAAAACAUAUACAAUACUGAAUUCCACAUGAGCCACUUCUUCAUGUAAAUAGACUUCUCAAUAAAUGCUUGUACUUUCUAGAUUGAGUGUUCAGUAAAGUGAGUACAUAGUUCAUUAGAGUAUUAAUAUAAACCAUUGUAAAAUGAGAAUUUGGGUUGAUGCAGAAGCUAUAAAUAUAAUGCAAAAACAGUAAAGAAUGUAGUCUGAGUUUCUUCAAUAAAGAAAAGAGAAUUUAAAAAUCACUAGCUAUCCAAGAAAAAAAUUAAAAUUUACUCAAAUACCAAAUACUUCCAUAUUUGAUAUGAUCACAUAGAAUCCAUACUAUGGGCAAGAUAUCUCAGUGUGUAGGGGAAAUGGUAACACCACAACAGACCAGGAAGCAUGUGACCAAGGCUCUUUCUAAGCCAACCCUAGCUUUCUUUGCUUUUUACCUUUACACUUGCCUUUCCUUCAUUCCUCUCUCUCUCUCUCUCUUUUUUUACUCUUUUCUCCCUUAAAACAUUAAUUUAAAAGUUAAUUUCAAGAAUGUAUUCUUUAAUCCAUGACAUUACAAAGUUGUUUUCAUAAAGCAUUUAGUACACUGUAAUCAAUUAUUUUGUUCAAAAUAUUGGAGAAUUUGCUUUAUGUCCUGAUAGUUUGGGUCUUCUCACCACUCAACCUCAUUAAAAAAAAAAAAAAAAAAAAACAGGUUUUAUUUGACUUGAAUUUUCAUCCAGAUGAUUUACAUUCUACAGACAACCCCAUUUUUCAAAAUAAGGUCUGGCAAUAUUCAGCUGUGAGUUUCAACCACAGAUGCCAAAAAUGCAAGGUGCUAUGAUGGAGUUUUAUAGUGUCUAGUGGAAAAACUCGUAAGAGGAAUUCUUUCUCCAUCAACUUUCUUGCAUUAAAAGGGUCAAUUUUUAAAAAUAAACUCAGGUUUAUGGAAGAAUCAUCAAACACAAAGGCAUGAUUCCUUAGGGCAAAGCGUCUCAGUUAAGACACAUUUUUACAAUUUGCUUCUAUUCCAAACGUUUGAUCAUUUUAUUAUGUUUGAAGGAGUUAAAACUUUCUCUUCGGAUGAUCUUGCAUUCUCCAAUAAAUGUUGUUUAUAAAAACUGUAAACAAAUCUGGCAGAAUACAUAAAAUUACCAUCUAAGAAUAUAGCUUCAAAUAAUCAUUUUUAAAAGUAUUUAAAGAAAAUGUAAGCUGAUAGUUUUGUGAAUUCUUAGUAGAAAACAGGUUUUGAAAUUUAUCCUGAUAGGUUAUGAAAAUGAUUUUUCUGGAUGUAUUUCAAUAAGAAUGUACAGGUUUCUCAAUGCCAUAAGUUAACAAUAUGUAAAAAUAUAAAACAGUUUAGGACAUUCAUUUUUAAAUUGCUAUUGUGAAUAUUUUAAUUUGCAUUAAAAUUUUUGUGUCAGCAAAUUUCAAGGAAUUCCAUAUGACACUUUGAAAGUGAAUUUUGAUGUAAAUAUGAAUUUUUAAAAGCAUAUGGAUUUCACCAAUGGUUUUGAAAAUCAUUUUUAAGGUCUUCAAUAGUAUUCAAAUUAUUUAAAAUUUAGACUUGCCAAACUAAAAUUUUAACAGCUUUAGCAUUAAAACAAAAAAUAUUUAUUUCUUAUUUCUUUCAAUUGCAGAAUGAAAUAAUAUAAAAUUCUUAGGAAAAUAAUAUUGAAAGUUUUCCUUGAUCCUAUAGACUGGUAUUGCUCCUUUUUUGGUCCAAGAUGUGAGUACAGACAGGAAGCACAAAAUAUAUUUUUCUAAAUGAGUUCGAAUUUUUUUUUCAAGUGCUGGCAUUUCAUGUAUAGCUUUCAACUGUUUGUUUUUUGGACAGGAUAUUAUAGUAACUUCCUACCAUUUUAACUCAUUUGAAAUAUAUAUGUAUUUUGAAAGUCUUAAUAGCCAAAGAUAAAAAUCAAGAAUCAUAGACACAUUUCUAGCAGGAAAUUUUAAAACCAUACAUGAUUUUUGCCAGGAAAUUCUAUUCAUUUUCAACAAACAUCUUUGCAAAUAAGACAGAAUACACAAUAAACAAAAUAUUUCUCCUAAUAUAUAUCACAUAUUAAAUAGGUAGCAGUUAUUACAAUGCACAAUAUUCUUUACCUUUUCUAAAUUAUUUGGAAAUACUUCAUAAUGUCAAGUAACAGCUCAUUUAUUUAGAUUUAGAUUUAGAUGUUUUUAAAGUGAUGAUCUACUUUUAGCCAAGAAAUUGCCUAAGUAAAAUUAUAUGACUGUGACUAACACAGGGUGCUUUUGUUUUUAAAGGGAAAAAAUACAGUUACCUACAUUGUUGGGAUGUAUUUAUAGAGCAUUUUUAUUGUUAAGUUAUGCUUUUAGAGCUUUAGGAACAUUUGAGAACAAUAAUCAGUGGUGUGUAAUGGUAUUGUUAGUGGAGCCUUUUCUAUUGAAUUUUCAAGAUGUUGUAAAAUGAGAUUAUGUGAGCAGCACCUCUGGACACUUUUUCCCAUCAUUGUGUUGGUAUCAAUCGCUGACUUCCACCAUUUCUCCGGGUAUUAAAUAGAAACACUGGUUCCCACUGCCUUGAUUGGAGGGUUUAUAAUACAUGACAGAACUGAUAACCUUAAUGAGACUAAGCAUUGUGAUCUUAUGAAAGCUAACUGAAACCUGCACUGCAGAGAGUAUCUCUAAGACCUGAGAAGGUGCAAGAAAAUGUUUUACUUUGAUUUCUUAUUUUGAGUGAAUGCCUCUCUCCUCAGGCAAACUUGACCCAGAGAGACGGUGAGAAAAUUCAUCUUCUGCAGCUCUAGCCACAGCUGGGCAGAGGCAUUCUCCUGGCAGAAGUAACCUUUGCCAGAUGUCCAUGUUAAUGCCUUAUUGCAGAAAGGGUGGCGCUUGAUCACUUACUGCGCACGGACAGGUUGCCAGCACACACCGGAUCAGUUUGCAAUUGGCAGGGCUCUGCAUGGCUGGAAAUCCAAGUCUGUAUAAAGAAGGGGUGUCUAUUCCUGGCUCUGCCCCUGGAGUCAUCUAUAACUAUGUAAAAAGCCUUAUUACAUUUGCUUCUCAAUUUCACACACACACAAAAAGAAAAUGAAAUUUAACAAUCAACCAUUGACUCUCUUCUAUAAGGAGUUAUGAGGAUCAGAUAUUAAAGUAUCACCUAAUCUGAUAUAUUGAGGGUGGUAUGCCAGUUUGUGGGACCUGGCGGCAGAGAUCAACAGAUCUGCAGCUGAUUAAUGACAGUUUAAAGAUGUUUGCUAAUCUUAUCACCCUCACUGGUCAUAGACAACCACCCAUGAUCAGAAGAACAGAAACUGCUUGCUCUUGAUUCUUUACUUCCUGGACUGAUCUUAAGAAAGCAGCUAUCUGGAGAAUGCUUCAUCAUUAGAGAAGUGCUGCCCGUCACUGACUUGCUUACCAUACCUUAUCACCUUUCAUUUAAUUUCUUUAUUUACAUUGACUUUUCUUCCAAAUCUAUUCAAUCUACCCAAUAUUCUCAUUGACUUAGAAGCAUAAUCCCUCCACUUCUACACAUUCAUGGAUAUUCUGGCCCAGUAAUCUUUAUUCUUCUCUCAAUAUAGAUAAUAUAGGAGUUAGCAUCCUUUAGUGGACCCACUGGAAGGACCACAACUCUAUACCCAUUUCUGUAUUUUCCCAAACCCAACAUCAUCUUUCCACUACUUCAGAUAUAAGUAGCUGGUGAUAACAAAUGCAUUACCUUACUUAAAAUUGUAUUUUCAUUUUACUAGGUGAUAGAGUUUUAAUCCAAAUAAAUUGUGUGUGUGUGGGGGGGGGGAUUUUUCCUAGGAAAUGUUCUAUGCUAAAGAGUAAAAGCACAAUAUAAGAAUUUUCUGAAGAAAAAUUUAGCUACUAAAAAGUUAUAAUGGAUAGAGAUAGCUUAUUUUAUUCUGAUCAUAUAUGAAGUAUUAUAUUUAAUUGUGAGCCUCUUAUUUUAAGAAGUUUGCCAAAUCAUAAACUAUUCAGAUGAGUGUAACAGAAUGGGGUAGAGGUCUGAAAAUUAAAUUGCAUUAGGAAUAAUUAAAAUGGAUGUUUUGUGUGAAGAAAAGAAGACCUGGAAGAUAGGCAUCCAUGAAUAUAAUAGAACAAUAGAAUAGAAUAGAAUAAUUGGACUUACUCAAUAUGGAUCACAAGGACCAAAUCACAUAAUUUGCAGGAAGAAAGAUAUGACUUCAUGUAUGGAAUAAAAUUCUAUUCACUGCAUCUGUUAAAUGGGAAUCUUCUUUAUGACAGUGUCUGAGACAGAUACCCAAUGGUUGCAAUGAAAGCCUUGCUCUAGCAUAUAUUUUUUAAAGUAGAUUAUUGAAAGACAAGGGAAAUACUUGUAAACUGCAGUCAGUGCAGUCACACUUCAGGGAAAAUAAAAUAGUAUAUGGCACCUCCUCUCUACCCUGUUCUCUCAUAAACCAUAAGAUACCUAUUCUCCCUUUCUCUAAGUCUGUUACAUUCUUCUCUCUUCAAAGGAAUGCAUGAUCCUUUGAGAGAUUUCAGGCUUCUGUGACUCCAUAUUUUCAACUUGUAUGCAGCUCUGUCUAGCCACAGGAACAACUCUAUACCCAUUUUUGUAUUUUCCCAAACCCAACAGCAUCUCUCCACUACUUCAGAGUCUUGUAGUUCACAUUCUCCCAGUAGAAUAUUAUCUAGUUAAACCUAUUUACUUCAAUUUUUUAUGCCAAGUAGGUUGGGUCUACUAGUUACCAAUAUGGUCAAGACUUCCAGGUUAGUACUGAGACCGGAGGAGAGAAUAUGAAGAGAUAAUCAGUAGUAUCUCUAUAAGGUAAAAGUUAGCUCCUUCUUGCUGGAAGUCAACAGACACUGAAUAAUCAUCCUACUGUACUUUUAUAUGAAGGCAAUAGAGAUACAUUAGGAAGAUUAUCUAUAAAACCCUUCCAACAUUUUUAUAUUUCAAUCUUAAAAAUUUCAACAGAGUAAAUAGAUUUGGAGGAGAGAGAAUUUUGCAAGCCUUUUGGUCAUAUGAAGUAUAUGAUCACAAUCAUACUAACAUUUACCCAACUAAGUAUCUUCCGUCUUAGUGUAUGUGUCCACCAUUCAGCUCAUGGAUUUAGUCAAAAAUCCAGAAGUCAUUGUUGACUCCAUCCUUUCCUUCACUUUCCAAAUUCAUCAUUCAACAAGUCCUGGCAAUUCCAUCUCCUAUACAAGCCCUUAUUCUAUGGAAUUUUUCUUGUCUCUCUUUAUGACACCUCAGCCCCAAUUCACCAUUUUUUCUCACAUACAAUAUUUUAAACAUUUGCAAAAGGUAAUUCUAACAUCAUUCUACACACCGAAGCUAAAGAACUUCUCCAACCAACUCUGAUCAUGACAUUUCCUGUUUAAAACAACACUUACUCUAAUUUUAAAAUCAAAUCUACAUAGUUUGGAUCUUGUCAGUUUCUCUGGCCUCAUCAUAUACCACAUAGAUCCUGGUUCUUAGAAUAACAACUUCUCCAUCUCCUCAAGAGCUUUGAACUUGCUACUUCCUCUACCAGGAACAUUUUGUUCUACUACUCUUUCAGUGAAUGCUGCCAACUCAGCCGUCACAUUUAAAUUAUGCAUUAUUUCCUCAGGGACAUCACCCUGCUCAAUGUUGGCUCCCAUAGCACAUAAUUAUUAAUCUUUUGCAACAUCCAUCUCAGGUGAACUCACUAGUCCUGUGUCUAUCUUUCCCUCCAAAGUAUAGGAUCAAUGAGGACAACUUCUGUUUUCAAGGCAAGAUUAAUGCUUGACAUAAAAUAUGACUCAAUACAUAUUUGUGGGAGAGAAUGAAUUAAUGGCCAACCUAGAUCAAAUAUCAGGCAUUCUAAAGAGGUAAAAUUCUAAUUUUCUUACAUUUUUUAGAGAUGAUGAGAGCUUUACACUUCUUGAGAUCUCAAAAUAUGAUUAAGAAAAGUAAGACUCUUUGUGAAAACUUAUAAAAUCAAGAACAUAUUUUUUUAAAGGGUUAGAUUAUUUUUCCACAGAAAAUAAAAGCAACAAAAAUCUUAAUGUGAGUUAUGGUUGGUAAAACUAAAUAUUGGCAUUAAGGGAUGUCAAAUGCAUAUAAGCAGAAAAAAAUAACAGAUCUUAAUUUUUUAAAAGAAAUGUUAUAUAUUAAGAGUUUAAUACAUGCCAGGCUGUGUUCUAGAUGAUUUAGAUAUAGAUAAGUUGAAAAAAAAUAGAAACUAAUGUCUUCUCUCAUGAUGUUUACAUUCUAGUAACACAGCAAGACUAAUCAAAUACACAAACACAGGAAAAAAAAUGGAGACAAUAUCCACUGUGACUUGGCCAAAAUUUUAUAAAAACACUUAAGUAUUUCUGAAUUUGAUCUACCAAAUGAUAGUGUUUUUUUAAUUCUACCCAUGGAUUUCCUAGGACAUCUUCUAGAUAUUGCAGAAAGACACAAAGGUGAGGCACUUUGAUAAAUGCAGAAGUUGAUAUAAGCUCUGUGGAUUUACCACUACAGACAUUUAUGUUUAAAUAGGUAAAUAUUACUUGAACUUUGUUAACUUAAAUAUUUCAAAACAGCAGAAAGGCUCUUAUAUCAGACAUCAAAUAGGUUUACAAGGAAUAAAUUAAUUGUAGUAAUUUUGCCCCUUUUUUAUUUCCUGAAACACUCAGAAUUUACAAUGAACAGCAACGACAAGGCCAGUUGACAGAGAAACCUCAGAGACAGCUCCACAGUCCUCACAGGUCGGACUGGUCAUGGGAAUGCUGAGGAUCCAGAUGCUAAGAGUUAAAAGAAGCCACGGAAAAUUGGGUGAUAUGAUAUCCUUUUUAACCCUUCAUUCUGAUUCUUAGGGGAUUGUAUGUUGGUGCAAAGCUGAACAAUAGACUCUGCAAGAAUGAAGUUCACAGUACAAUAGUGUAGACAGAAAUAAGGCCACUGAGGAGGAAGAAGGCUGCCUUCUGCCUUAAAAUUAAAGCCAAAUUUAACUCAAAAUGAUAAUUCUGAUUAUAAAAUCAUGUUUGUAUUGGUUCAGUCAGGGCCCAGGAAUAUUUUAACACAGGUCAUCAAUGUGAUAUCUGAUAACACUAAGUUGUCAAUAAUGGACUUAUGUAUUCAUUUUUACAAGUAUUUAUAGGACCCACACUGUUUAUCAGACACAGUUCUAAGCAGUGAACCAAAUAAUAUUGUGUGGAAGAUGAACACAGAGUGAAUAAGCAAUCACAUAUCUACUAUGUUGUGAUGUCUGAUGAUGACCAGAGAAGCAGUAGGAGAAGAGAAUGCAGGGUGGUGGCACUUACGAUGAGGAGUGCAGAUGUGGCCUGUCUGUUAAGGUGACAUUUGUGCUACAGAAGGAUAAGCCAGGAGAAGCAUGGUCAGAGA